RNAcentral lists this ribosomal RNA (239 nucleotides) under uncultured bacterium. RNAcentral describes it as "partial 16S ribosomal RNA". It matches the Rfam family "Bacterial small subunit ribosomal RNA", at positions 95 to 334 of the family's 1533-position model. The record is from RNAcentral.
CCGGCGCACGGGUGAGUAACACGUAUCCAACCUGCCGUCUACUCUUGGACAGCCUUCUGAAAGGAAGAUUAAUACAAGAUGGCAUCAUGAGUUCACAUGUUCACAUGAUUAAAGGUAUUCCGGUAGGCGAUGGGGAUGCGUUCCAUUAGAUAGUAGGCGGGGUAACGGCCCACCUAGUCUUCGAUGGAUAGGGGUUCUGAGAGGAAGGUCCCCCACAUUGGAACUGAGACACGGUCCAA